Molecule: long non-coding RNA, 1304 nt
Organism: Pseudoliparis swirei
Lineage: Eukaryota; Metazoa; Chordata; Actinopteri; Perciformes; Liparidae
Exons: 2
Source: RefSeq, a predicted model, not a curated record
CUCCGCAGCUCAUGGGGCGUUUAAAUUACCUCUAGCUGCAUAAAGGUGAUCAAACGGGCUCAAAACGCUUAAAGUGGCACUAAAAUAUGCUGCAACCCGACGUGUUUAUUAAGAAACAUCAUUUUUAUUGCAUCACAGAAAGGACGGAUCCGCAAAAAACAAACUUAAAUACGGUAAUUAUGAAUAAAGAAUGAAUGAGUAAAUAAAUAAGAAAGCAACAUCGUGUCUUUCUCACACAGGGUGUCCGCGGGUCCUUAAAAAGUCUUUAAAAGUCUUAAAUUGCUUUUCCUAAAAAUAAGGCCUUAAAAAGUCUUAAAAAGUCUUAAAUUCAGAUUGGAUUGGUCUUAAAUUUUUUUGGGUGUCAUGUCAUUACGAAUAUGAGGCAAUCUGUUCCGCCAGGUCCGUAGUUUGCUCCGGUCGCUCUGCGGUGUCUCUGGUGUCACCGGGGCCACGCCCCUUCUCUUAAAGGGGCCCCGCGUAUUCGGUCCCAUCCCCGACAACGUGAAGCAUCGGCUACUUUAGAAAACAUGGCAGGAUGCAAGUUCAACAACGGCUUGAAAAGAACGAAUGUUUCUGGUCACGGUCGGUGAAAUGCUUCUGAAGCUGCGUUAUGUGUCGGGAGACUUUCCAGCGGUGGAAUCUCACGAGCAGAGCAAGAAGCACAGAGACUAGCGAAGGCCGCCAGCAGCCCGCGGGGCUAGCUGCUGCUCCGCCGCCAGCAACGACGUCAACGCUACAAACGCUGGAGGUCACCGGAGGAAAUCCAGCGCCUUGCAACAAAGAGCUCAUCACCGAAGUCCAACAGGGCGCCGUGUUCUUCAUUCUGUUCCACGAGUCUCUGGACCAGACCACCGCGAGCAGACAGCUGGACUUCAUGUGCGUUAUUGGUGAAAUGACCACGUCCCGUCAGGAUCCUCUGGAGCUCAUGGGCCAUGACACCAGGACCUACUUCAGCACCUCAAAGAGAAUGGACCAAAUGUCAACUGGAAGUUUUUAUAUUAAUACAGUUUGAAAAGGAUUGUUUUCCUAGUAUAUUCACAAAAGCUCAGGAGUAGACAUGAACCUGUGCACAAACAUCCAUCACAUAGAGACAUAAGAACACACACACACAUACAUUCUAUUAUGUAAAUGAAUUUGCAUUUUAAAAGCAGCUGGAAUAGUUAUUUAUGUUAUUUUAUAGAUUUUUUUGUUCAAAAGGAACUAUGUUGCCUGUAUUUUUAAAAUAUAUUUACUUGAUAUAAGCAUUUGUUCAUGGGACUUAAAUGUUCUGAAAAUGUAUUAAUAAAUAUAAUUUACAACAGCAA